GUCCUCGCUUCGGCUGGACAUAUACUAAAAUUGGAACGAUACAGAGAAGAUUAGCAUGGCCCCUGCACAAGGAUGAGAAUCAUUGUCCAAAUAAUAUUCAUCCUUUU
Small nuclear RNA from Sabethes cyaneus, 107 nucleotides. Lineage: Eukaryota; Metazoa; Arthropoda; Insecta; Diptera; Culicidae. The record is from RefSeq and is a predicted model, not a curated record.